RNAcentral lists this long non-coding RNA (701 nucleotides) under Chinchilla lanigera (long-tailed chinchilla). Its description in RNAcentral is "lncRNA (ENSCLAG00000022660.1)". Lineage: Eukaryota; Metazoa; Chordata; Mammalia; Rodentia; Chinchillidae. The record is from RNAcentral.
GUAAAAAUUAUAAACACAAGAUAAAACCAGGGUUAAAUGAUGGAUAGGGACAGUUACUACAAGGCAGGUGCUUACGCCACUGAGCUGUGUCCCCGCCCCCUGGGACGUUUAUCCUGAAUGGCCCCGUUGACGCACCUGGCCCCACUGUCGGAUCGUAGGGCGGUGAUAGUGUGCACUUUGUGUUGCCGUAUAACGGAAUAUCACACCACCUAUGAAAUGAGUUGUAGAACUGUAAGGCUCCAGCUGGGCCUGACUCCUGGCCCCAACCUGCCGGCCGGCAGAGACACUGUCCUCAGCCGCGAGCUCAGCUCAGCAGCACAGCCGUCAUGGGAAACCACAGGACGUGGAAAGGAGGUGGUCUUCUUGCCUUCUGUCUGCCUGCGUCCAGGGACAACAGAUUUCACGCCAUGCUGCCUUCUCACAAACCUGGUGCCUCUGCUGUUUGCUAAGUCCUUCCUGGUUUUUGGAUUCUGGAGUAGAGAGUUCUGCUGUUUCUCAGGUCCUUUCAGAAGUAGAGCCUUAAACAAAGGGUUGCACGCAGGCAGUUCACUGUAGAGGCGGAGAUCAGAGGGAACAAGCAGGAAUUCUGAGGAGGACAUGAGCGGAAAGCGCUGGACACACACAUUACAGUGUAGCAGUAUCCAUACCUGAAGUUGUUCAACUUUUAGAAACUUUGGACCAACCUAUUGAAUGCAUCUUGG